This 254-nucleotide ribosomal RNA is filed under the name uncultured bacterium. Its description in RNAcentral is "partial 16S ribosomal RNA". It matches the Rfam family "Bacterial small subunit ribosomal RNA", at positions 524 to 776 of the family's 1533-position model. The record is from RNAcentral.
UACGUAGGUGGCAAGCGUUGUCCGGAUUUAUUGGGUUUAAAGGGUGCGUAGGCGGCUUUGUAAGUCAGUGGUGAAAUAUGGCAGCUUAACUGUCAGGGUGCCAUUGAUACUGCAGAGCUUGAGUACAGAUGAGGUAGGCGGAAUUGACGGUGUAGCGGUGAAAUGCUUAGAUAUCGUCAAGAACACCUAUAGCGAAGGCAGCUUACUAGGCUGUAACUGACGCUGAGGCACGAAAGUGUGGGGAGUCAAACAGG